GGCGGCAUGCCUUACACAUGCAAGUCGAACGGCAGCACGGGGGCAACCCUGGUGGCGAGUGGCGAACGGGUGAGUAAUACAUCGGAACGUGUCCUGUAGUGGGGGAUAGCCCGGCGAAAGCCGGAUUAAUACCGCAUACGAUCUACGGAAGAAAGCGGGGGACCGAAAGGCCUCGCGCUAUAGGGGCGGCCGAUGGCAGAUUAGCUAGUUGGUGGGGUAAAGGCCUACCAAGGCGACGAUCUGUAGCUGGUCUGAGAGGACGACCAGCCACACUGGGACUGAGACACGGCCCAGACUCCUACGGGAGGCAGCAGUGGGGAAUUUUGGACAAUGGGGGAAACCCUGAUCCAGCAAUGCCGCGUGUGUGAAGAAGGCCUUCGGGUUGUNAAGCACUUUUGUCCGGAAAGAAAACUUCUGCAUUAAUACUGCGGGAGGAUGACGGUACCGGAAGAAUAAGCACCGGCUAACUACGU
This 473-nucleotide ribosomal RNA is filed under the name uncultured beta proteobacterium. Its description in RNAcentral is "bacterial SSU rRNA". It matches the Rfam family "Bacterial small subunit ribosomal RNA", at positions 38 to 506 of the family's 1533-position model. The record is from RNAcentral. Lineage: Bacteria; Pseudomonadati; Pseudomonadota; Betaproteobacteria.